UGCCCAGGCGCGAAAACUUUGCAAUAAGCGAAAGCUUGACAGGGCUAUCCCGAGUGCCAUCCGCUGAGGAAGGCUUUUACCCAGUCUAGAACGCUGGGGGAAUAAGGAGAGGGCAAGUCUGGUGUCAGCCGCCGCGGUAAUACCAGCUCUCCGAGUGGUGUGGAUGUUUAUUGGGCCUAAAGCAUCCGUAGCUGGCUAAGUUAGUCCCCUGUUAAAUCCACCGAAUUAAUCGUUGGAUUGCGGGGGAUACUGCUUGGCUAGGGGACGAGAGAGGCAGACGGUAUUUCCGGGGUAGGGGUGAAAUCCUAUAAUCCCGGGAAGACCACCAGUGGCGAAGGCUGUCUGCUAGAACGCGCCCGACGGUGAGGGAUGAAAGCUGGGGGAGCGAACCGGAUUAGAUACCCGGGUAGUCCCAGCUGUAAACGAUGCAGACUAGGUGUUUGAACGGCCACGUGCCGUUCUAGUGCCGCAGGGAAGCUGUUAAGUCUGCCGCCUGGGGAGUACGAUCGCAAGAUUGAAACUUAAAGGAAUUGGCGGGGGAGCAC
This 545-nucleotide ribosomal RNA is filed under the name uncultured archaeon. RNAcentral's name for it is "bacterial SSU rRNA". It matches the Rfam family "Archaeal small subunit ribosomal RNA", at positions 331 to 879 of the family's 1478-position model. The record is from RNAcentral.